Molecule: long non-coding RNA, 2692 nt
Filed under: Taeniopygia guttata (zebra finch)
Lineage: Eukaryota; Metazoa; Chordata; Aves; Passeriformes; Estrildidae
Description: lncRNA (ENSTGUG00000020083.1)
Source: RNAcentral
GUCCCCGUGUGAGCUCUGGAAUUGUCCCUUUGGGAGCACUGGAAUUGUCCUGAGUGAGCUCUGGAAUUGUCCCCGUGGGAGCUCUGGAAUUGUCCUGAUGAGCUCUGGAAUUGUCCCUGUGGGAGCUCUGGAAUUGUCCCCGUGGGAGCAGCCUGGCACAGUGGAGGCUGUUGGGGUUGGCACUCUGCCCUUCCCAGCCAAACCAUCCCAGUGGUGGUGCUCAGGACAAAUUCCUGUCCCAGAUUUCCACUGAUUUUUCCCCAUUUUCAGACAGAUUUUGCCCCAUUUUUCACCAUAUUUUACCCCAUUUUCCCACAGAUUUUACCCCAUUCUUCUAUGGAUUUUACCCCAUUCUUCCACGGAUUUUACCCCAUUCGUCCAUGGAUUUUACCCCAUUUUUCUAAAGAUUUUGCCCUUUUUUCCACGGAUUUUACCCCAUUCUUCUGUGGAUUUUUCCCAUUCUUCCACAGAUUCUGCCCCAUUCUUCCACAGAUUUUUCCCCAUUUUUCCACGGAUUUCACCUCAUUCUUCCACAGAUUUUACCCCAUUCUUCAACGAAUUUUUUCCCCAUUUUUCCAUGGAUUUUCCCACUGAUUUUCCCCCAUUUUCCCCCAGCUUUUGCCAUGCCCAUCCCCACGUUGUCCCCUUUCCCCAGCACGGGCUGGAUCCCUCUCCCUGUGCAGUAGCAGCUCCGGGUAGGAUUGCACAGGGCUGAGCUUUCCCGGCGUGUGCCGGGUGCUGGGACAGUUCCACUGAAAUCCCAGCACCUGCAAGUGGUUACUUAGAAUAAUAAAUAACUGAUAGAUUAUCAAAUAAAGCCUUGCCUUGGGAUGAGGUCAUCCCUGCCCCGUGUCCUGCGUCUCCCAGGGUUUGGAGCAGCUUUCCUGGGCUAAAUCCCUCUUGUAUCAGGCAAUAAAAAACUUGUCGGGAUUAAAGAAUCAAUUAGGAAUUAGCCAAAGGGGCAAAGCGUAACCCAAACACGCUGAUAAAAUCCAGUAGGUGAUUAUGGGAAGGGGUUUGAUUUCAUUGGGCUUUGGAAAGGAAUAAUUGCUCCUUCCAGAGCACGGAACAACACGGGCUGGGUGUUUUUGCAGCUUUAUAGAGGAGGAAAUUCUGGUGUUCGCUGACAAAUGUGGGGACAUGCCACGAUUUAGGGCUGAAGGGGGUCCUGAAUUUGAGAAGCAUCAUUCCCUGGUUGGGAAAAUGAUCUUGGAAAUCUUUUCAAGGACAGGUUGGACGGGGCUUGGAGCAGCCUGGGAUGGUGGAAGGUGUCCCUGUGGCAGGGAGUGGAACCAGAUGAGUUUUAAGGUCCCUCCCAACCCAAACCAUUCUGGGAUAUUCCAUGACUGGGAUGCAGCAGGAUGGGCAGGGAUGUGCCACAUCUCUGGCACUGCCUUUGCUCUUCCACAGGCACAGGAAAACAGAACAGAACUCCUGGAAAAAUUGAUUUUCCCAGCUGAUGAUGGCAGGGAGGGGAUGGAGCAGUCCCAGCAUGGUGCAGGAGCGUGAGGAGUUGGAUUUUAGGGGAAAAGAGCCCGAUCCUGGCUCGGGGACUCUGUGCCACCAAUCCCUGUUUAUUCCCUGUCUAGCCCAGCUUCCCACUCUCCCAAAGCUUUUCUUCAUGAAGGAGACCCAGGGACAGAAGAUCCCCCAAGGCAGCGUGGUGCCAGCACAUCCCAGGAAUGUCUCAGCCUCAUCCCAACCUCCUCCUGCACAGCUCCAUCCUCCCCCAGCAGCUCCAGGCUUGAUCUUUUUGGGAUUGUUUUGGCCUCAUCCCAACCUCCCCCAGCAGCUCCAGGCUCAGCCUUUUUGGGAUCAUUUCAGCCACGGGGCAGCCCUGUGACAAAUGCCAGGGGACACCAACCUGUGCGAGUGGAGCCCUCUGGGUGUUUUUGGGGUGUCUGACUCAGCCCUGGUUACCUGAAAUGCUGCCCAGGGCUCUGCCCCACCUUCCCCCUGUCCCCCCUGUCCCCCCAGGGGCACUGCAGCUCCCUGACUGAAGCGUAGUGUCGGAAUCUGAGGUGUUGAUGAUCCCAAAAUUGUAGAGUGUCUCUGUCUUUCAGCCCCGCUGCCAAAGAAGAAGCCAUAAUCCAUCUGUGCUGUUUCAAGGUUGUUUAUUCUGUUUAUCUCUAACAUGUUCUGCUGCCCUGCCGCAGCUCUGUCCUGCAGGGCAGCGUGUGGGGCUCUGCCCUCAGUGGGAUGGUACAAACAUUAAAUACCACAAACUACCUGUGCUGGAUUUACAAUAACGUGCCAAUAUCUGUCACCUACAUUGGACAGUGUGUCCCCAGCCUGAACCAACAGAAAAAUGCCAACACCACAGUGAAACAUGGAGGGCAUGAAGAAGGAGAAAAAGGACAAGACACACCCAAUUUCCUCCAUCUUGUCCCCUUUGGACCCCUCAUCUAGAAUCCUAAAAUUUUACUUUUGCACCCAUGCCACACUUAAUUAUUACUCAUAUCAAACACUCAGAGCUGGUAAUUCACCCUGUAAGAUUGAAAACUCUUUUCCAUGGACAGAGAUCACAGCCAGUGUCUCUGGGGGCUCUGUCCAGGGGGGUUCCUGACCCCUGCCAGGGUCCCAGGGCAGCCAGAGGGAUGCUCUGGAUUCCCACAUAGGUGGAAUAAAUAAAUAGACUUUAAAUAAAAAGUUAAAAUUUAUCAAUAUAAUGCAUAAUUCUACAAGCUAAAAU